AACGAACGCUGGCGGCAGGCUUAACACAUGCAAGUCGAUCGCUGUCUUCGGACAGAGAGGCGCACGGGUGAGUAACACGUGGGAACAUGCCCUUAAGUACGGAAUAACACAUGGAAACGUGUGCUAAUACCGUAUACGCCCUACGGGGGAAAGAUUUAUCGCUUAAGGAUUGGCCCGCGUCCGAUUAGCUAGUUGGUGAGGUAAUGGCUCACCAAGGCGACGAUCGGUAGCUGGUUUGAGAGAAUGAUCAGCCACACUGGGACUGAGACACGGCCCAGACUCCUACGGGAGGCAGCAGUGGGGAAUAUUGGACAAUGGGCGAAAGCCUGAUCCAGCCAUGCCGCGUGAGUGAAGAAGGCCUUCGGGUUGUAAAGCUCUUUCAGAUGUGAAGAUGAUGACGGUAGCAUCAGAAGAAGCCCCGGCUAACUUCGUGCCAGCCGCCGCCGUAA
This 449-nucleotide ribosomal RNA is filed under the name uncultured bacterium. RNAcentral's name for it is "partial 16S ribosomal RNA". It matches the Rfam family "Bacterial small subunit ribosomal RNA", at positions 29 to 523 of the family's 1533-position model. The record is from RNAcentral.